This 5221-nucleotide long non-coding RNA is filed under the name Salmo salar (Atlantic salmon). RNAcentral's name for it is "lncRNA (ENSSSAG00000119385.1)". Lineage: Eukaryota; Metazoa; Chordata; Actinopteri; Salmoniformes; Salmonidae. The record is from RNAcentral.
GUGAGCCUUGGAACCCCAAAGAACUUCCGGUGCAUUUGUAAACAGCUGGUCUGUUGCGGCUGUAAACAGUUUAAAACUUGCCUGCAUGGAUAGUAACGUUAGCAGCAGGAGGUGGCGGCACCAGGAUAAUGUGUAGCACACGGACAUAGAGACCUGUGAAAGCUGCUAAACCCAGUCUACGGAUGAAGGGCUCAAAGAAAGUUCCAAGUCCUGGAGAGACUGAAGGGUAUCUCCAAUGGGUUAUAUAUGCUAUUGGUUUAGUGUAAGAAUUGGUUGUUGGACUAUAAAAAUACUGUUCAAAGUAACAAUGCAUAGACCUAGAACAUGCAUAGCCAACCUUGCUCCUAGAGAUCUAGCUAUUGGGAGUGCAGGUUUCUGUUCCAGCCCAGCCCUGACAUUCUGCUUAUUAUUCAUUUAACUUUUCAAUCAUUUCGUUUUGGAGUAAGAUGGAUGUCUAAACCCACGAACCAUUUACCAUCUUUGUAUGAUAUGAAAUAAAGUGUUGAUUCCUUGAAUUAAGUAUAGUAGUCAGUGUACAUGUCUGUUUGUUAUUUGACUGUCACUCUCAUUUUGUCUGAUAUUGCACAGAUGUGCAGCUGAAGCUGAUGUCCUUGAUCAUUGGUGUAGGUGUAACAAUCCUUGUAUGGCAGACCUAGGACGCAACCCCUGUCCACAACAGCACUUCAUACCAAGAAAGCAGUGCCCAUUAUCCUACCAAAACCAUGAUCUUGGUUGGGCAAGGAUAAAAGUACUUCAGGGCAGGUAUACACACACUCACUCACACACACUACAUUGACACUCGCUCACAAAACCCACACACAUAUUUGCAUACACUACAUAUGCACACACACACACACACGCAUACGGACACAACACAAACACAUAUACAUACACUUUACACACACUUUUACACUCAUCAUUUGCUGCUGCUACUCUGAUCUUUAUUUUACUCUUAUUAUCUAUCCUGAUGUCUAGUCACUUUACCCUGCCUUCAUGUACAUGUCUACCUCAAAUACCUUACUAUUAUCUAUCCUGAUGUCUAGUCACUUUACCCUGCCUUCAUGUACAUGUCUACCUCUAACUCUGCACAUUGAUCUGGUACUGAUACUCUCUGUAUGUAGCUCCACAUUGAUCUGGUACUGAUACUCCCUGUAUAUAGCUCCAUUCUUGUGUAUUUUACUUCUAUUCCUCUUGUUACUAUUUUAUGGUAAAGUCUAUACCAGUUGUAUUCGGCGCAUGUGAUUUUCUAACAUGAAUGUAUCUAUAUUUUAAUACCAUAAGCAUCUCAGCUGUGGGAGGAUCUCCUCCUGCAAUGUUGUGCCGAUUCUGCUACACUUACUGUCCUCCUCCUCCAGUGGUUGGAACUCAUAAAUGACGUUGCUACUUUGCAGCCAAUGUAAAAAUGAUCCUUCACUGUGGUCACUCCUCGGGGUAUUUGUCUCUUGCGUCCACUAUCCGUUUUCUCUAUUUGAAAUGACACUAUCAGAAAUAGGAAAAGCACUCACACAUCUGAGAUAACUUGUGUGUAUGGGAGAAUCAUUUGCUAAUAACUUGAAAGAAAAUAUAAGGCUGAUAAUGGCAAGAUCAGUGUGUGGGUUUGUUUUUUUCAUUAGACAAUUCAUUUGGCUAACCAUGUUGAAGGAUACCAGAUUUGACUUCUACAGCUACUGCAGCUCAUGCAGUCAUGAAAUGGAUUAGUGCAAGCCCUACCCUUGUAAUGAAGGUAGGCCUUAAGGAUGACAUGCACAGGAGAAACAUUAUUAGCAAAUAUCACUAUCACAAAGGUGUGCAGAAAGGAAUAUUUACAUGUUUUAUUUUAAUUUCAAAAUACAUGUCGCUUGAAAUAAAGUUACAAUUUGUUUGCUUUGUGUUAUGUAUAAUCCUGGUGUGAUUAUUAUCAGUUCAACAUUGUCACCACAAGGUGUCAGCAUUAGCAUUUGUAUUAUAAUCUAGCUUUACUUAAUGCAAACAAACCAGUAGCUAGGUCUCCUAACGUGAGGUCGACAAUACAUGCCUAACACAAGCUAGCGGUUUAUUAAAACUACAGUUUCUUAAUUGAAACUAAGAGGGCAAUACACCUGGGUAAAAUAUAGUUGCAUUUUGGAGGAAGCAGAAGACGACCUAGGAGAGACAUUGGUGCAUGGUGUAGCUCAGCAGACCCUAGCGUACAGGCUGUGCGGCCCGGGUGACCCAUGGUUGUCGCAGUGGACCACCCACAUUGCUUGCACCAGACGAUGAAAAUUAUCUGGGGCAGUACUGUAUCUACUGCACCAGGCAUGGGUUCCCCUUCACCAGACAGAGGCUGAUGAAAUACGCCGACAAAAUACACAGGUUUCGGCACCCAUGGGAAACAAUCCCACCACUGGGGAAGAGGUGGUGGGAAAUGUUUAGGAGGAGGCACAAGAACCUGAGCAUGAGGAGGCCAGACACUCUGGACUGGGGGAGAGCUGAGUGUGCUACACGUCUGACGACGGACGCCUUCUUCACUUCUUAUGAGAAGCACUUGGAGGAGAGUGGGUUGAGGGAGAAACCCAGACAAAAUCUAUAACUGCGAUGAGUCUGGGUUUCGAAGCGACUAGAGCAGGCACAAAGUGCUUGCUCCCUGGGGUGCAAAACACAUGUACCAGCAGGCUCCUGCUUCAACGCAGCUGGGGAGGACGUCCCCCAGUUUAUCAUCUACCCCAAGUGUUUCUCCCCCCCAGCCUUUGGAUGGUAAAACAGUGGCUACAUUGACGGGAACCUGUUCAGGAAGUGGUUUCAGCACUUCAUUAAGCAUGCAGUGAAGGAGCGCCCUCUCCUUCUCCUCUUUGAUGGGCACAAGAGCCACAUGGACCCGGAGGUGCUCGCUGCGGCACUAAGGGAAGGGGUUAUACUGCUUUGUCUUCCACCACACUGCACCCAUGUCCUGCAGCCGCUGGACGUGGCAUACUUUGGUCCUUUAAAGGCGGAGUUCUCCAAGGUAGCCAUUUUGACCACUCCUACAUGGUAAACAAAUCAGAAUUUGCCAGAGUAUUCCGCUACCCGUACCAGCGCUGCAAGGACAUGUGCUAUGUGGUGGAAAGGUUUAAGAAGUGUGGCCUCUUCCCUUUUGACCCUUCAACUAUUGAAGGGUCCUGUUGAAUGCCGUCUCGGUCCCUACCGGAUCCCACCACCGCCUCCCCUGGAACCAGCAGCACUGUGCCAUCCAUCAGCGCCUCCUCCCCAGCGACCACAGGAGGACCCUCAGCCCCUGAUCCAGUCCCAGCUCCAGCCCUAGCUCUAGAAGAGCACCCCCUAUUAGAGGGGGGGCUGAUAGCAAAGGACCUGGGGCACAUACUUACUGUCCUGAAGUAUCAGCUAGACCGAUAAAGAAGACUCCCUGUGGUCGCUGCAUGCCUCACCGGGGAGGAAUACACGCGCCAUUGGCAGGAGAGGGGCGAGAAGGAGAGGGCCGAGGCAGAGGAGAAAGAACGUCGGGCAGCCCUCAGAACACAGAGGGCAAAGGAGAGGGCUGCCAUGGAUGAGACCAUUGACGCCUCUGCUGGAGGCCCCGCUGGAACCACUCCUGACAGCUGCAUCACCAUUGCCAGUGUCUCCCAGUGUGCAACACCUGUAGGAGCCGCCGGAGUCCCCAGCUGCAGAAGAAGGCCACGUGCCUACUCUCCUGACUAUCGUCGGCCCCUCAACCCCAACAUUACACCAGCUCCUCCAAGCCAUCGUCAGCGGUUUCGUCCACCACCACGAUGCACACCACCCCCCCUGUCUGGCACCAGUAACGCGGCCUACUCUGGCCCAGCUGCCUCCUCUGUCUCCCCUGGUCACACCACCAUAGCAGCCUUGUCUGGUGUCCCUGCAAUUCGAAUACAGCCACCUCCACAGUCCACAGCACCCGCCCUCAAGCACAGAAAAGAGAAAAGCUCCACCGGCCACCUCUGUCACACCACCCAUGGCACCACUCUCAGAAGACACCACCUGCUGUGCUCGCUGCGGAGAGCAUGAUCCACCUGCAAGCUUUCCGCAGGAGUGUAGGUCCGAGGUGCCAUGGGUGUGUUGUGACUUCUACCAGCACUGGUUCCACUGCAGGUGUGUGCAGUGGGAUCCAGAGGUGGCGGUGAAGAUUGAUUUUUGUUGUGAUUUUGUUGACAAUAUAGGGAUUGAGGUCAAGAUUUAAUUGUUUGUUUUCAUAUUAAAUUAGUUAUUUGUAAAAAGAAAUAUGCUAAAAGAUAAUAUAUAUAUACAUAUUUAUUCAACCCAUCUUGUGUAUUUCUUCCUUUACUUUCCAAGUGCAUCUCUGCAACACAAACUCAUGUCAAUGCACAUGACUGAAAUUCAAGUUUUAUUUGAUGUAAAUUAUUCAUACUCAUUUAUAUUUUAGUAUUAAACUGUGAUCUAUUUUCUCAAAACACAAGAUUAAUCUGUAAAACUAAUUAUGAGACAUUAUUUGGUUACAACACUGAAUAUGUUGGUGAAGAACCAUUUUUUAAGAGUCCACAGGAGGGCAAUAAAAAAGUUGACAGGCAAGUCAUUUUUUUUUUUACCGGAAGGCUAGCCAACAAAUCAACUUGCUAGUAAACAGGUUGGUGUCUUAUUUUGAACAAAAUUAAAACGGAUAUAUCUUGUAAUUGAACAAAAUAGUAAGGUGGCCAAAAAAUGGGGACCGCAUGCCGAUUUUUUUGCUAAGUCGUUUAUCAAAAAGCUGAUAUUAGUAGUAUUUCCACUGAAAUGUCAAACAUGCUAAUUGCUAACCUGUUAGCUAACAUUUUUACAACACCAAUAAUCACAAAACAUUGAUGGCUUGAUCACAAGAUAACACUGUUUUAGGCAAUAUAUUUCUUAAACGCUGUUGAAUAUGCCGAUAAUACAGGGUGCUACGCUACUUCUCAAAUCAACGUAUCCUACUAUUUUCAUCACCAAUGGGAACCGUCGACACGCCUAUCUUCCAAGGAGCAUCUUCCAGAGUGAACAACAGUAGAAGACGGGAAAGGGGAGACCCCUUUUUUAGACAAUCAUAGCCUUACAAGCGUGCCGAUGAACGAAGACAUGCACAUGUAAAUACAUUCAUGAUUUCUUAUUCCAAACAGGCGGCGGUUCGUGUGCAAAGUAUAUGAUUACUGUGAGAAUGGUUCCUAACAUGUAUCAAUGAUAAGUCCCGCUUUUUCUCUCUCCCUGUCCAUGUCGUUGUGUAACAAGCCGCCAUAUGUUGUCAGUCCGCUAGGGACCUUGUCCUCAUGUAUUAAGUGUG